Molecule: transfer RNA, 68 nt
Filed under: Haloarcula argentinensis
Lineage: Archaea; Methanobacteriati; Methanobacteriota; Halobacteria; Halobacteriales; Haloarculaceae
Description: tRNA-Ser
Source: RNAcentral
UACGGCCUCGGCGCGGACGCGCUCGACGCUGCUGCCGUCGAACGGGUGUUCGAGGCGAAGGGCCGCGA